UGGUGGAGUGAUUUGUCUGGUUAAUUCCGAUAACGAGCGAGACCUCAGCCAGCUAACUAGCUCUGCGAUUCGCAAGAAUCGUGCUAAAGGGCUUCUUAGAGGGACUAUCACUGUGUAAGUGAUGGAAGUUUGAGGCAAUAACA
RNAcentral lists this ribosomal RNA (143 nucleotides) under uncultured eukaryote. RNAcentral describes it as "partial 18S ribosomal RNA". It matches the Rfam family "Eukaryotic small subunit ribosomal RNA", at positions 1299 to 1458 of the family's 1831-position model. The record is from RNAcentral.